RNAcentral lists this ribosomal RNA (253 nucleotides) under uncultured bacterium. RNAcentral describes it as "partial 16S ribosomal RNA". It matches the Rfam family "Bacterial small subunit ribosomal RNA", at positions 524 to 776 of the family's 1533-position model. The record is from RNAcentral.
UACGGAGGGUGCGAACGUUGUUCGGAUUCACUGGGCUUAAAGGGCGCGUAGGCGGAUGGUCAAGUCGGGGGUGAAAUCUUUCAGCUUAACUGGAAAAGUGCCUCCGAUACUGACUGUCUCGAGGGAGGUAGGGGCAUGUGGAACUUCCGGUGGAGCGGUGAAAUGCGUAGAUAUCGGAAGGAACGCCGGUGGCGAAAGCGACGUGCUGGACCUCUUCUGACGCUGAGGCGCGAAAGCUAGGGGAGCAAACGGG